UACGUAGGGCGCAAGCGUUGUCCGGAAUUAUUGGGCGUAAAGAGCUCGUAGGCGGCCUGUUGCGUCCGCUGUGAAAUCCCGGGGCUUAACCCCGGGUCUGCAGUGGAUACGGGCAGGCUAGAGGCAGGCAGGGGAGAACGGAAUUCCCGGUGUAGCGGUGAAAUGCGCAGAUAUCGGGAAGAACACCCGUGGCGAAGGCGGUUCUCUGGGACGGUACUGACGCUGAGACGCGAAAGCGUGGGGAGCGAACAGG
Molecule: ribosomal RNA, 253 nt
Filed under: uncultured bacterium
Lineage: Bacteria
Description: partial 16S ribosomal RNA
Rfam family: Bacterial small subunit ribosomal RNA
Source: RNAcentral